GCACCUGUGAGGAGAGUGCGGUGACCUGGGGCUCACUGGCUUGUUAAAGCCACCCAACCGCCCCGGGGACUGGGUGGACUCGUUUACUGAGGAGGACUCGGGCCCUGCGAGGUGAAGACACUUGGCUGCGAUGACACGGCAGGGUUCCACGUCGACUUUCUGGCCGACCCAUUUUCCCUGUUCUUUCUGCCCCUGCACCUCACCGUACCGUCAUUUGCGUGGCUUCUUGGCUCGUAGCCUCGGGAUCCCUAGUGGAAAGCCCUGAGCCCGGCCCAGCAGAGUUCUGGGCGGCUGUGGACAGAGGGAAUGCCGGUUCUAGGAGCCACAGCCCUUGUCUCUUUGUUUCACUCUGGAUGUGCUGCCUUGUGGCGACUGACUGCUCCAGUCUAGCUUCAAGCCUGAGGGCCCCGAAUGUCCCGGCGGGACGUGAGUGGGAAGAGGGAUUUGUUUCCUUGGAGGUGGCUUAGUGACAGGCCCAUCCCAACCCUCGAGGCGGUGGGGGCACGCGUCAGCAUUGAGUCCGGGUUCACCUUAGUUGACUAGAGCUGUUUCUGCAUCCCCUGGGCCACCAGCCUGGAAAAGGGCAGGGAUUGGAGGCAGCUAGACGCAGGCCCUGAGCAGGUACAAUCAGGGACACCCACCCAGGUGGCUUGCCCAGAAAGCUUGGGGGAACCCUCUGCUGCAGCCUCACCAGCCCCUCCCAACAAAAAAAAGAUCUUGAGCCAAGUUAGACUUGGCUUAUCACCAUGUCAGUCACUCACAGAGCCUUCGUUUGCUCUGCGUGGGGGGAAUAAUGUCUACCACUGGGGUUGGGAGGAGCCUGCAACGGGGCCUUCCACAGGCAGUCAUAACCCGCUUUGCCUGGAAACAAACGGGACCAACCUGCUUCCAGUCCAGAAGGACCGACUCAUGGGCCAGGGCCUUGGCUCCCCGCAGCCAGAGGGAGCUAGAGUCUGGGCUGGGGAAGCGUUUCCCUUUCCCCGUCAGCCUCCCCUGCAGCUCCGUGACUGCCCCUGGCUGGGCCAGCUCAGCUCCUUUGUGCCUGGGGUGGGAAGUAAGGCACUAAAAUAUGCUGGGCGCAGCCAGGUGUCACACCGAACCCAGGCCUCCUUCAGGUUCAUGCGCCUUCGUUAGUCACCCCGUCAACCUCUGCACCCCUAGUUUUGUAAGUGAAGAAACUGGCCCAGGGAGCUCAAGUGACUGGCUGGUGACUGACUUGCUGUCAAACCCAGGACAGAUGUCUGAGCCUUGCUGAGCGCCACUUUCUCAUUUGUCAAGUGGGAGGAAUUGUUACCUUCAAGGUGGUUAUAAGGAUUAGGUGUUUAAACCUCAAAGGUGUUGGGUGAUCUUUUCCUCUAAGAAUCUUUGGAAUAAUUCUGAUACAAGGAAGAAACAAAGAGCGACUGUCUCCCUGCCCAGCCAUCCUCAGCCAUUCCUCCCGACCUGAGCCGAGUGCCAGAAGAACCAGAUUCGGUAGACGUUCAUCAGUACCUACUGUGUGCCAGGUCACUUCAUCCUGUUCCGGGUACAGCAGCUCCAAAUCGCGGGGAUUCUGUAAGAGCUUCCUACCUGUUGACUGAGGAGGCCCACAAGUUGAGGAGAACUAUCAAGAGUGGUUCAAAACUGCAGCUCAUUGGGCUGGCUACCAGGUAUUCCCACCCACCAGAAGCUAGCUGUUGUACUCACCCAGAACCAUGGUGCACCACCACAGCGGCGAGGUCAUACAGGCAGCUCUCCGGGCCACUGUUCUCAGGCUACAGAACAAGGAAGAAGGAGCAAUGGUCAAUGACAUCAGUAUCUCGAUGACCUCUAACCUCUCCGUGUGAUGACAAUCUUACUGAAGAGCCAUUUUUUCACCAUGCUAAAAAG
Long non-coding RNA from Rhinopithecus roxellana (golden snub-nosed monkey), 1869 nucleotides. RefSeq lists it as uncharacterized. The record is from RefSeq and is a predicted model, not a curated record. NCBI's taxonomy places the organism in Eukaryota, Metazoa, Chordata, Mammalia, Primates, Cercopithecidae. The transcript is spliced from 3 exons.